UUGUGACAAUAGUGUAGGUUGGUGUUUUAUUUUAUUUCCAUUUUAUUAUUAUUAUUAUUAUUUUUAUAUAUAUAUUUCAUUUUAGUUUUGCUUUAAAAAAAAAAAAAAAAAAAAAACCUAAACUAAACUGGGAGAGCAAUCCCAUUCUUUGCAGAGAGCAACAAAAAAAAUUAGCCUAAGUGGAUUGAUCCCCCGUCCACGUGGAUCGAUUCCAUUUUACUUGUAUUUCCCCUUCUCAUUACAUAGUAAAAGGACAAUUUUUUGUAAAAAAAUAUCGAUCCCCCAGUAAAGGAGAUCGAGCGCCAAUCCAUUCUCGCCCUACCUUCCAUUCCCAAACACAGUUUUCUUCUCCUUCCUUACGAAACCCUUAACCCACCUCCAAUCCCAAUUUGUUGGUUCACUCCUCGCUGAUCUCUUCUCCUCUUCCACAGUGUCGCGGCUGUGAUUUCUGGCUCCAUGGUUCUGAGUUCUUUUCUGCCGACAGGUUGAGGUUCGCCCUUUGCAUCGCCUCUUUGGGUUUCGGUUGGGUGCGAUUGGGGAAGUUGGGUUGCCGGUUUCUAGGUUGCCGAGUUUGAGGUUCGCCAAGUUUUAUUGCGAGUUUGUGAAUCGUCGUUCUCUCCGGCGAUCGCUGCUGCAUCGCCGGUUCCUUCCGGCGAGUUUCUGCAUCGCCGGUUCCUUCCGGCGUGUUUGUGAAUCGCCAUGUUCUCCAGCGAUUCUGGCUGGUUGGUCUCUGUCGCGUUGCUGGGUUGCGGGUCUCGCCGGUGAUUUCAGCUGGGUUCUCUGUUGCGCUUUUGGGUCGCUUUUCUCCGGCGAUUUUGACUUGUUCUUUCAGUGAGCUUGUGCAGCGAUUUUGGCUAGAUUCCUCUCUGAUACCGGUUGGUUUCUUCAGCGAUUUUUUUUUUUUAUUGGUUUCUUCUCCAGCGAGCUUGUGGGUUGCCGUUAUCCUUGCGGUUAAUUGUUUCGGGUAAGUGCACCCGAAUCCUUUGCGGUUAAUUGCUUUGGUUAAUUGACAUUUAUCAUUUAUCAUCCAUCAUAGUGCUCCAAAGAUGAGAGAAUUUGAUGAGAGAAUUCAAUACUCUUUAUCAUUUUUUUUGGACUAUCUGGGUGCUAUUGUUGUGAUAAUAAUUUUCAUGUUUGGAUCAUGUCAAAUCCAAUUUGCAUCCCGAAACUCUUUCCCCUUCUUUGUUGUGUACUAAAUCUAGAAUUCUGCCUUUGUUUUAGGGCACUGAAAUUGUGAUAUUGUUUCGCAAUAUAGAUUGUUAGUCUUAAAAAAAAAAAAAAGUUGAAUAGAUGAUUAAAAACAAAAAAAAAUUCCAUUGAUGAUUUAAACAAAAAAAGAGUUAAAUUGAUGAUUACAAAAUAAAAAAAGUAAAAAAAUAAAAAAUAAAAUAAAAUAAAAAUUCCCAGUGGACGAAUUGGUUGUUGAGUUGUGGUUGUCGUUGAACUUAGAUUGUGUAUGGGAAAGUGCUUGAGUUGGUUAAUUUUUUUUUUCUUUUUUUUGCACUUGAAUUGGUUAUUAAAAAAAAAAAAAAGUUGCAUUGAUGUUUUAAAAAAAAAAAAAAUUGAAUUGAUGAAAAAAAAAAUAAAAAAAUUCACAGUGGCCCAAUUUGGUGAUUGGAAAAUUAGAGUUGGAUGCUUCAUUUGACAUUGAAUGUCUUGUUGGUUGAUUUGCAGAUUUUGGUUUGUCAUUGGAGUAGGGUUAUUGAAUUUGGACUACUUCCCAUAUAUUUCAAUCUUUAAGAAAUGACUCGUGUUCCUUCUUCCAAACGUUUCAAACCCUCUAAAGAGACUCCCAAAGCUGUGUGGCGCAACAAACGUCUGGAUUUUGAGACUACCUUCGACAUUGAAGGUACGUUUCGCCACAAUGACACGACUGAAUGGGCGGUGUUAGAAUUUAAAAGGAGGCGUUUGUCCUGUCUUUUUAGACCAACUGCAGAGGUUGCAUAUCCCCGUAUUGUGCGCCUGUUUUAUCAGAAUAUGGAAUGGAUUAGUGAUGCGCCGGACAUAUUAGCUACAACCAUUGAUGGUGUUCGAAUUCACUUUGGUGUCUUAGACAUAGCCCAGGCAUUGGGGUGUCCACAUUUGUGCCCCACUGACUUGCUAAUAGAGAAUGGGGAGCUACGUUUUGGCAAAUUCUCAAAAAAACCUACUGUGCAUUCUAUUGUUAAGGAUAUGUGUGACGGGAAGUAUGGUGACAAGAAGAUGACGAAUUGUGCCAGCAAGUCCUCACUACCUAAGGAUAUGUGGUUUUUCAAUUAGGUUCUGAAGCAGAAUGUUUUUCCAAUAGGUCAUAAGGUACAGCGAGUGCAAGAAUUCUUAAUAGCAUUGUAUGCUACCCACACUGGAGCAUGGUUUUCUGUUCCAGCUUUCAUCUUGAACCAAAUGCAUAAAUAUUGGAAGCAUUUAGUGGCGAGUGGGGAUCCAAAUGCGAAAAAAUGAAACCUUCCAUUUCUAUAUAUUAUUACCCAGCUCCUUGUCCUUUGGUGCUUCGUGGUUGAUAAUGAUGAGAUCUCUGAGGCUCAGCGGUGACUUUUGGGCUAGCACAGUGGAACUUAAGCCUUUCUCAUAUGCCUAGGGCCAAGAAGGAAGGUGAUGGCAUGGCAGCAGGUGAUAGAGAGGAUGUGAAUGCCUUAGUUGAGGACGUCGUUGGGAAGUCUGAGGAGCAAAUUGCUGAUGGUGCUAGUUAUGAGAUAGCACAGGCUGUGUCACCACAUGCAGAGGAGUCUGCAGGGGUGACUAGGACAGAGUUCAAUGCCAUUGUGGGGCAGUUGAGGACCGAGUUGGCUGAAUCUGAGGAGCAGCGUCGAGUCAAGCAUGCUGAGCUUAUACAGCAGCACACCACUACCCAGCGCAUGCUACGAGAUUUAUAUGAGAUUGUUUCAUCGAGUCUCCCACGCACUUCCACAUUGCCGCCUGAUGCAUGAUUUCUCUUGUCUAUGUUAGGCUGUUUAGAUUUUUUUAUUUUGAGUGGAUGGGAUUUUAUGUGGCUAUAGCUAGAUUUUUUGUGAUUUAGAGCUGGCUAUUUUGGAAACCUGUAAUUCUGAGUUUUGAUGAUAUAUUUUGGUUUCAUUCAUCCAUAUAUGAUUGCUUUUGGCUUUUAUUGCUCAUAUUCAUAUAAAAAAACAAAAACAAAAAAACAAUACUAAAUAAAAAAAAUAAUGAAAAUAAAUAAAAAAUAAUUAAAAAAUAAAAAUUGCAAAGUAUCAUUCCGUCUUGCUAGAGACGUUAAACUUAGCCAAUUAUUUAUUUAUUUGUAGGUUGUGUAUAUAUGUUCUUUUUCUUUGUUUCUUUUACAAUUAUAAAAAAAAAAAAAAAUAACCAAAAAAAAAAAAAAAAAAAAAAAACUAAACUAAAAAAAUUAAAAAUAAAUUAAAAAAAUUCAAAAAUGUGUUAUCGGUAUGCCCUUAUGACUAGUUAUGAAUGUUUUCAGAUUUUAUCAAGGGUUUCAUCUCAUAUCUCUUUGCAUUGUGUUAUAUAUUAUUUUGAACUGUAUGAAUUGCUUAUCCCAUGUGACAUUUGAUGUGAGUUUGCUAGUAUGGUUAUACAGCUAGAUUUUUGCAUCUAAGCUUGGGGGAGACAUCUUUCCUACUGGAUCAAUGCCGGAUUUCAUAAUCUUUGCCAUCACGGUACCGAGAUCAAGAUUCGGGAUUCACGUCAUGCUUGGAUGAUUUGUAAACUUGAAGUUCUCAUUUAUUGUAAAUGUUGGCUUGAAAUGCCAUUUAUAGCUUUAUAUGUCAAAAUGUGUUAAAAUGUGUAAAUUUGAUUCUAUUUUUGUAAUGUGUACAUAAGUGCACUCUUUACAAUGUAUUUGACAUGUAUGAGAUGAGGCCAUGGGCCAAUGACAUCUAAUUUGUAUCCUAUGUAACUUUUAACUUCAUGAAAUAUUAUGAAUAUAUUAAAAAAUGCCGAGUCAUUGUUUCACUA
Long non-coding RNA from Cornus florida, 3924 nucleotides. RefSeq lists it as uncharacterized. NCBI's taxonomy places the organism in Eukaryota, Viridiplantae, Streptophyta, Magnoliopsida, Cornales, Cornaceae. The transcript has 2 exons. The record is from RefSeq and is a predicted model, not a curated record.